Molecule: long non-coding RNA, 754 nt
Organism: Anthonomus grandis grandis
Lineage: Eukaryota; Metazoa; Arthropoda; Insecta; Coleoptera; Curculionidae
Exons: 2
Source: RefSeq, a predicted model, not a curated record
UUAAAAUAAAUGUUUAUAAUAGACUAGAUAAGCAAUAAUUUACAAUAUUUACCUGACAAUCUAAACCCAAAUAUAAAAUGUUUCUUAUCUUGACCAUGAGGCACUAAUUUGUCUUACACAUUAUAUAAAUGCUUGGUUAUACUCAAUUUAACUAUCAAAUUAAAAUGUUGCAGAAAAUAAUUAUAACUGCCAUGCUGUUAAGCAUGCUUUUUAGUAUCCACAACGCCUCUCCUCUACAACAAAAGCAUAACCUCACAACAAGCAUUGCUAACUUACAAAAAGUUCUACUGCAAAAGAACAAUGAACUAAUAUUCAGAUCCAGCAACACCAGUGCAACAGUUAUAAUAAGCGCAGUACAAACAAUAGUGGAUAAUAUUAUAGCAAACAUUGGUACCUCAGUUAGCUCAUUGAUUACCACUGUUACCCCCUUAGCGACAACACUGCAAACCGACCUAGUGAGCCCAGUGUUAAGUUUAAUAAAUACCUUAAGUUCUUUAACAUUUAUUCAGGCAGUGCCCAAUGUGUAUGCUGUACUUUUAGUCGCACAGAUUGUAUUAACGAUCGGUAAUGCCACACUGGGCAGUGCUGACACUAUAGGAACUGUUACUACAAGCCUUUUUGGGUCUAUACAGACUAGUGUAGAUUCCAUUUUCAGUUUGAUACUUAGUUUUGUGUAAGACUGUUUAUGUAUUAUAGUACAAAUUAUGUUCAAUUGUAUUUGAGGUUUGGAUGGUUAGUAAAAGUUUGUUUUAAA